GCAGAGCUUGCUCUGGCUGACGACCGGCGCACGGGUGCGUAACGCGUAUACAAUCUACCUUAUACAGGAGGAUAGCCCUAAGAAAUUGGGAUUAAUACUCCAUAAGAUUCAUUUAUUGCAUGAUAGAUGACUUAAAGUUUCGGCGGUAUAAGAUGAGUAUGCGUCCUAUUAGCUAGUUGGUAAGGUAACGGCUUACCAAGGCGACGAUAGGUAGGGGGCCUGAGAGGGUUAUCCCCCACACUGGUACUGAGACACGGACCAGACUCCUACGGGAGGCAGCAGUGAGGAAUAUUGGUCAAUGGAGGCAACUCUGAACCAGCCAUGCCGCGUGAAGGAAGAAUGUCCUAUGGAUUGUAAACUUCUUUUAUUUGGGAAGAAACCUAUCUACGUGUAGAUAGCUGACGGUACCAAAUGAAUAAGGACCGGCUAACUCCGUGCCAGCAGCCGCGGUAAUACGGAGGGUCCAAGCGUUAUCCGGAAUCAUUGGGUUUAAAGGGUUCGCAGGCGGUUCAUUAAGUCAGUGGUGAAAUCCCAUAGCUCAACUAUGGAACUGCCAUUGAUACUGAUAAACUUGAAUAUAGUUGGAGUAGGCGGAAUGUGUAGUGUAGCGGUGAAAUGCUUAGAUAUUACACAGAACACCGAUAGCGAAGGCAGCUUACUAAACUAUGAUUGACGCUCAUGAACGAAAGCGUGGGGAGCGAACAGGAUUAGAUACCCUGGUAGUCCACGCCGUAAACUAUGAUUACUCGUUAUUGGCGAUACACAGUCAGUGACUAAGCGAAAGUGAUAAGUAAUCCACCUGGGGAGUACGGUCGCAAGAUUGAAACUC
Molecule: ribosomal RNA, 829 nt
Filed under: uncultured Bacteroidota bacterium
Lineage: Bacteria; Pseudomonadati; Bacteroidota
Description: bacterial SSU rRNA
Rfam family: Bacterial small subunit ribosomal RNA
Source: RNAcentral